Molecule: ribosomal RNA, 492 nt
Filed under: uncultured bacterium
Lineage: Bacteria
Description: partial 16S ribosomal RNA
Rfam family: Bacterial small subunit ribosomal RNA
Source: RNAcentral
AGUGAACGCUGGCGGUAGGCCUAACACAUGCAAGUCGAACGGCAGCACAGUAAUAGCUUGCUCUUACGGGUGGCGAGUGGCGGACGGGUGAGGAAUACAUCGGAAUCUACUUUUUCGUGGGGGAUAACGUAGGGAAACUUACGCUAAUACCGCAUACGACCUACGGGUGAAAGCAGGGGAUCUUCGGACCUUGCGCGAUUGAAUGAGCCGAUGUCGGAUUAGCUAGUUGGCGGGGUAAAGGCCCACCAAGGCGACGAUCCGUAGCUGGUCUGAGAGGAUGAUCAGCCACACUGGAACUGAGACACGGUCCAGACUCCUACGGGAGGCAGCAGUGGGGAAUAUGGGACAAUGGGCGCAAGCCUGAUCCAGCCAUACCGCGUGGGUGAAGAAGGCCUUCGGGUUGUAAAGCCCUUUUGUUGGGAAAGAAAAGCAGCAGGUUAAUACCCCGCUGUUCUGACGGUACCCAAAGAAUAAGCACCGGCUAACUUCGUG